RNAcentral lists this ribosomal RNA (1429 nucleotides) under Staphylococcus haemolyticus. RNAcentral's name for it is "bacterial SSU rRNA". It matches the Rfam family "Bacterial small subunit ribosomal RNA". The record is from RNAcentral. Lineage: Bacteria; Bacillati; Bacillota; Bacilli; Caryophanales; Staphylococcaceae.
CGCAGCUAUAAUGCAGUCGAGCGAACAGAUAAGGAGCUUGCUCCUUUGACGUUAGCGGCGGACGGGUGAGUAACACGUGGGUAACCUACCUAUAAGACUGGGAUAACUUCGGGAAACCGGAGCUAAUACCGGAUAAUAUUUCGAACCGCAUGGUUCGAUAGUGAAAGAUGGUUUUGCUAUCACUUAUAGAUGGACCCGCGCCGUAUUAGCUAGUUGGUAAGGUAACGGCUUACCAAGGCGACGAUACGUAGCCGACCUGAGAGGGUGAUCGGCCACACUGGAACUGAGACACGGUCCAGACUCCUACGGGAGGCAGCAGUAGGGAAUCUUCCGCAAUGGGCGAAAGCCUGACGGAGCAACGCCGCGUGAGUGAUGAAGGUCUUCGGAUCGUAAAACUCUGUUAUUAGGGAAGAACAUACGUGUAAGUAACUGUGCACGUCUUGACGGUACCUAAUCAGAAAGCCACGGCUAACUACGUGCCAGCAGCCGCGGUAAUACGUAGGUGGCAAGCGUUAUCCGGAAUUAUUGGGCGUAAAGCGCGCGUAGGCGGUUUUUUAAGUCUGAUGUGAAAGCCCACGGCUCAACCGUGGAGGGUCAUUGGAAACUGGAAAACUUGAGUGCAGAAGAGGAAAGUGGAAUUCCAUGUGUAGCGGUGAAAUGCGCAGAGAUAUGGAGGAACACCAGUGGCGAAGGCGACUUUCUGGUCUGUAACUGACGCUGAUGUGCGAAAGCGUGGGGAUCAAACAGGAUUAGAUACCCUGGUAGUCCACGCCGUAAACGAUGAGUGCUAAGUGUUAGGGGGUUUCCGCCCCUUAGUGCUGCAGCUAACGCAUUAAGCACUCCGCCUGGGGAGUACGACCGCAAGGUUGAAACUCAAAGGAAUUGACGGGGACCCGCACAAGCGGUGGAGCAUGUGGUUUAAUUCGAAGCAACGCGAAGAACCUUACCAAAUCUUGACAUCCUUUGACAACUCUAGAGAUAGAGCUUUCCCCUUCGGGGGACAAAGUGACAGGUGGUGCAUGGUUGUCGUCAGCUCGUGUCGUGAGAUGUUGGGUUAAGUCCCGCAACGAGCGCAACCCUUAAGCUUAGUUGCCAUCAUUAAGUUGGGCACUCUAAGUUGACUGCCGGUGACAAACCGGAGGAAGGUGGGGAUGACGUCAAAUCAUCAUGCCCCUUAUGAUUUGGGCUACACACGUGCUACAAUGGACAAUACAAAGGGCAGCGAAACCGCGAGGUCAAGCAAAUCCCAUAAAGUUGUUCUCAGUUCGGAUUGUAGUCUGCAACUCGACUACAUGAAGCUGGAAUCGCUAGUAAUCGUAGAUCAGCAUGCUACGGUGAAUACGUUCCCGGGUCUUGUACACACCGCCCGUCACACCACGAGAGUUUGUAACACCCGAAGCCGGUGGAGUAACCAUUGGAGCUAGCCGUC